RNAcentral lists this ribosomal RNA (2904 nucleotides) under Escherichia coli. Its description in RNAcentral is "bacterial LSU rRNA". It matches the Rfam family "Bacterial large subunit ribosomal RNA". The record is from RNAcentral. Lineage: Bacteria; Pseudomonadati; Pseudomonadota; Gammaproteobacteria; Enterobacterales; Enterobacteriaceae.
UUAAGCGACUAAGCGUACACGGUGGAUGCCCUGGCAGUCAGAGGCGAUGAAGGACGUGCUAAUCUGCGAUAAGCGUCGGUAAGGUGAUAUGAACCGUUAUAACCGGCGAUUUCCGAAUGGGGAAACCCAGUGUGAUUCGUCACACUAUCAUUAACUGAAUCCAUAGGUUAAUGAGGCGAACCGGGGGAACUGAAACAUCUAAGUACCCCGAGGAAAAGAAAUCAACCGAGAUUCCCCCAGUAGCGGCGAGCGAACGGGGAGCAGCCCAGAGCCUGAAUCAGUGUGUGUGUUAGUGGAAGCGUCUGGAAAGGCGCGCGAUACAGGGUGACAGCCCCGUACACAAAAAUGCACAUACUGUGAGCUCGAUGAGUAGGGCGGGACACGUGGUAUCCUGUCUGAAUAUGGGGGGACCAUCCUCCAAGGCUAAAUACUCCUGACUGACCGAUAGUGAACCAGUACCGUGAGGGAAAGGCGAAAAGAACCCCGGCGAGGGGAGUGAAAAAGAACCUGAAACCGUGUACGUACAAGCAGUGGGAGCACAGAGCAAUCUGUGUGACUGCGUACCUUUUGUAUAAUGGGUCAGCGACUUAUAUUCUGUAGCAAGGUUAACCGAAUAGGGGAGCCGAAGGGAAACCGAGUCUUAACUGGGCGUUAAGUUGCAGGGUAUAGACCCGAAACCCGGUGAUCUAGCCAUGGGCAGGUUGAAGGUUGGGUAACACUAACUGGAGGACCGAACCGACUAAUGUUGAAAAAUUAGCGGAUGACUUGUGGCUGGGGGUGAAAGGCCAAUCAAACCGGGAGAUAGCUGGUUCUCCCCGAAAGCUAUUUAGGUAGCGCCUCGUGAAUUCAUCUCCGGGGGUAGAGCACUGUUUCGGCAAGGGGGUCAUCCCGACUUACCAACCCGAUGCAAACUGCGAAUACCGGAGAAUGUUAUCACGGGAGACACACGGCGGGUGCUAACGUCCGUCGUGAAGAGGGAAACAACCCAGACCGCCAGCUAAGGUCCCAAAGUCAUGGUUAAGUGGGAAACGAUGUGGGAAGGCCCAGACAGCCAGGAUGUUGGCUUAGAAGCAGCCAUCAUUUAAAGAAAGCGUAAUAGCUCACUGGUCGAGUCGGCCUGCGCGGAAGAUGUAACGGGGCUAAACCAUGCACCGAAGCUGCGGCAGCGACGCUUAUGCGUUGUUGGGUAGGGGAGCGUUCUGUAAGCCUGCGAAGGUGUGCUGUGAGGCAUGCUGGAGGUAUCAGAAGUGCGAAUGCUGACAUAAGUAACGAUAAAGCGGGUGAAAAGCCCGCUCGCCGGAAGACCAAGGGUUCCUGUCCAACGUUAAUCGGGGCAGGGUGAGUCGACCCCUAAGGCGAGGCCGAAAGGCGUAGUCGAUGGGAAACAGGUUAAUAUUCCUGUACUUGGUGUUACUGCGAAGGGGGGACGGAGAAGGCUAUGUUGGCCGGGCGACGGUUGUCCCGGUUUAAGCGUGUAGGCUGGUUUUCCAGGCAAAUCCGGAAAAUCAAGGCUGAGGCGUGAUGACGAGGCACUAGGGUGCUGAAGCAACAAAUGCCCUGCUUCCAGGAAAAGCCUCUAAGCAUCAGGUAACAUCAAAUCGUACCCCAAACCGACACAGGUGGUCAGGUAGAGAAUACCAAGGCGCUUGAGAGAACUCGGGUGAAGGAACUAGGCAAAAUGGUGCCGUAACUUCGGGAGAAGGCACGCUGAUAUGUAGGUGAAGUCCCUCGCGGAUGGAGCUGAAAUCAGUCGAAGAUACCAGCUGGCUGCAACUGUUUAUUAAAAACACAGCACUGUGCAAACACGAAAGUGGACGUAUACGGUGUGACGCCUGCCCGGUGCCGGAAGGUUAAUUGAUGGGGUCAGCGCAAGCGAAGCUCUUGAUCGAAGCCCCGGUAAACGGCGGCCGUAACUAUAACGGUCCUAAGGUAGCGAAAUUCCUUGUCGGGUAAGUUCCGACCUGCACGAAUGGCGUAAUGAUGGCCAGGCUGUCUCCACCCGAGACUCAGUGAAAUUGAACUCGCUGUGAAGAUGCAGUGUACCCGCGGCAAGACGGAAAGACCCCGUGAACCUUUACUAUAGCUUGACACUGAACAUUGAGCCUUGAUGUGUAGGAUAGGUGGGAGGCUUUGAAGUGUGGACGCCAGUCUGCAUGGAGCCGACCUUGAAAUACCACCCUUUAAUGUUUGAUGUUCUAACGUUGACCCGUAAUCCGGGUUGCGGACAGUGUCUGGUGGGUAGUUUGACUGGGGCGGUCUCCUCCUAAAGAGUAACGGAGGAGCACGAAGGUUGGCUAAUCCUGGUCGGACAUCAGGAGGUUAGUGCAAUGGCAUAAGCCAGCUUGACUGCGAGCGUGACGGCGCGAGCAGGUGCGAAAGCAGGUCAUAGUGAUCCGGUGGUUCUGAAUGGAAGGGCCAUCGCUCAACGGAUAAAAGGUACUCCGGGGAUAACAGGCUGAUACCGCCCAAGAGUUCAUAUCGACGGCGGUGUUUGGCACCUCGAUGUCGGCUCAUCACAUCCUGGGGCUGAAGUAGGUCCCAAGGGUAUGGCUGUUCGCCAUUUAAAGUGGUACGCGAGCUGGGUUUAGAACGUCGUGAGACAGUUCGGUCCCUAUCUGCCGUGGGCGCUGGAGAACUGAGGGGGGCUGCUCCUAGUACGAGAGGACCGGAGUGGACGCAUCACUGGUGUUCGGGUUGUCAUGCCAAUGGCACUGCCCGGUAGCUAAAUGCGGAAGAGAUAAGUGCUGAAAGCAUCUAAGCACGAAACUUGCCCCGAGAUGAGUUCUCCCUGACUCCUUGAGAGUCCUGAAGGAACGUUGAAGACGACGACGUUGAUAGGCCGGGUGUGUAAGCGCAGCGAUGCGUUGAGCUAACCGGUACUAAUGAACCGUGAGGCUUAACCUU